Molecule: ribosomal RNA, 460 nt
Filed under: uncultured bacterium
Lineage: Bacteria
Description: partial 16S ribosomal RNA
Rfam family: Bacterial small subunit ribosomal RNA
Source: RNAcentral
CCUACGGGAGGCAGCAGUGAGGAAUAUUGGUCAAUGGGCGUAAGCCUGAACCAGCCAAGUCGCGUGAGGGAUGAAGGUUCUAUGGAUCGUAAACCUCUUUUAUAAGGGAAUAAAGUGUGGGACGUGUUCUAUUUUGUAUGUACCUUAUGAAUAAGGAUCGGCUAACUCUGUGCCAGCAGCCGCGGUAAUACGGAGGAUCCGAGCGUUAUCCGGAUUUAUUGGGUUUAAAGGGUGCGUAGGCGGCAUUUUAAGUCAGCGGUGAAAGUCUGUGGCUCAACCACAGAAUUGCCGUUGAAACUGGGGGGCUAGAGUAUGUUUGAGGCAGGCGGAAUGCGUGGUGUAGCGGUGAAAUGCUUAGAUAUCACGCAGAACCCCGAUUGCGAAGGCAGCCUGCUAAGCCAUAACUGACGCUGAUGCACGAAAGCGUGGGGAUCAAACAGGAUUAGAUACCCCAGUAGUC